GUUUUUAUAGUGUAAACUGCACAUAGUCCUUUCAAGACUAAACUAACCGGCAGUUUAAAAACA
Molecule: transfer RNA, 63 nt
Filed under: Gammarus fossarum
Lineage: Eukaryota; Metazoa; Arthropoda; Malacostraca; Amphipoda; Gammaridae
Description: tRNA-Glu
Source: RNAcentral